This 252-nucleotide ribosomal RNA is filed under the name uncultured bacterium. Its description in RNAcentral is "partial 16S ribosomal RNA". It matches the Rfam family "Bacterial small subunit ribosomal RNA", at positions 524 to 776 of the family's 1533-position model. The record is from RNAcentral.
UACGUAGGGGGCUAGCGUUAUCCGGAAUUACUGGGCGUAAAGGGUGCGUAGGUGGUUUCUUAAGUCAGAGGUGAAAGGCUACGGCUCAACCGUAGUAAGCCUUUGAAACUGGGAAACUUGAGUGCAGGAGAGGAGAGUGGAAUUCCUAGUGUAGCGGUGAAAUGCGUAGAUAUUAGGAAGAACACCAGUGGCGAAGGCGGCUUUCUGGACUGAAACUGACGCUGAGGCACGAAAGCGUGGGGAGCGAACAGG